Caenorhabditis elegans is the source of this 161-nucleotide non-coding RNA. The record is from Ensembl. NCBI's taxonomy places the organism in Eukaryota, Metazoa, Nematoda, Chromadorea, Rhabditida, Rhabditidae.
UCGCGCGGCGGCUGCCAAUUAAUGUCUUCAUAAACGUGCUGCCAGCGCCAAUUUAUCUCUCAAGUGGUUGUUGAGGGGGUACGCAUCCGCGCGUACUUCUUGCCUCCUAACCAUUCUCCGUUCUCUGAUAUGGCAGCUGCUCUUGGUGAAACCACACCGCC